UCCGCCGAAGGGGCUGGCCCUGGAAGUCAGCUCCUGUGCUUGUGACAGAUGAUAUUUUUAUGCGAGAAAACAAAACCAGGAUAUCUGAUGGACUGUGUUAUCUUUACAGACAGCUUGGAGCUACAGAUGCAAGGCAAGAAGUUUUAUGCUUGAACUUCAAAACUGAGCUGAAAGGAUUCAGAUGUUUUGUAUGAGAAUCCAAGCAUUAAUAAUGACUGUGUGAUCAUAGUUUUGGAAAACUAAGAAUACAUUUCCUGGCUACACUUGCAGAUUUAUGUUUCUUAAGAAAAGCAAAAAUGAAGUAAUUUUGAUCUCUGAUGGAUGAAACCCAUUGGAAUGGAAACUAACAUCUAUGAAGAAGAACAGGGGUCACCUUAUCUUACAUCUGCAGAGUGCCUGGGAACUCCAAAGGAAGCCAAGUAUGAAGAACACCAAAGAAAGAUAGAAAAUCAGACAAGUCCAUAUGAAUUUCAGAAUGCAUUACUGGAAUCUGAGCUGAGCUUGCUGUCUGUGUCAUCCUUAUUGGACCACAAUGAGACAUCCUUACAACUUGGCAUGGCUGCAGGCAGUGCCACUGCCACCAACCAGCCCCAGACAAAGCAGCUUUAUGAAGAUUUAUCCUGUUCUACAAUGCACACGUCAAAGGAACACUCUUUAAACCUUCCCAUGCACACAGAAUGGCCAGUCCUCACAGGAAAAAAUUCAGACAAGAAACCAGAAGCAAAUUAUGAGAUCAGAGUCAUAAAACACAAAUCAUGUGCUAUCACAUUUUCUGAUUUCGAGUUUUCAUCACAUGAAGCUGACACCAAGCUCCAUAUUUGUGAGGCAGGAGAAGCAGAUGAUUUUUAUUCUGAAGAGGAAGAAGCAGAUAACAGAGGUGAUGAUGAUACACUUAAAGAACUGCCACUCUAUGAGGCAUUUUUCAAAGGUCUUCAAAGAAGGAGUGUUUCUCAAAGAAAGCAAGCUAAACAUGAACUUACUAAAUAUCAGCAUAUCUGUCAUUUAGAAGACUUCAAUAAUCAUUCCAAAAAGGCAUUGAAGGACCAUGACAAGGAAGAAAAACACAUGGAGCUGGAGACCCAACCAGAAAAAGAAUCUGAAUGGCCAGACUCUAUGUCGUGGCUUAUGAAGAAAUUGGAAAAGUUGAACUUAGAUAUUGAAGAAGCUCUGAGUGCUGGAUCUUCUCCCUCCAGUACUCCUUCCUCUAAAAGGCACAAGCAACUGAAGAAGCCAAAAUAUGUGCUAACGAAAACCGACUGAAUAAAUAAAUAUUAUGGGACCUACUGGUGAGAGUAGGGAGUCUUGCAGUAUUUUGGUGAGCAAAUUCAAGUCCCCUGUUCAAGUAGAGACAGGCCUUUAUGGAGAUCAUCAAGAAAAAGGAUCUUGGAGAAAUAGAAGAGGAGACUACCAGGAUCUAAAUUGUUUACCUUACCAAGUGUCAACUGGAGCACGACCUAAAACUGAUGUAAGUAGCUACAACAUUAUCUGACUCACAGGUUCAGUAACCUCUAAAUUUACUACGUAUCAUUAAAAUUGUCUGUGCAUUUCUUCUAAAUAAUUUGUUCCACACAUACCAAAUGUUUGAUUCUUGCAAAUAUUGCUCUACAUGGAGGAGUUUGGUUUGAAAAGUAGGUUGGACUUCAGGUAAUGAGGCUCCAGGGCUGUGGGGUUUGUCUAAUCUGAUUUUAGGCCACUAAUGAAAACUUCUAUAUCUGAACUAGUCACUUGGGUCGCCUCCAUAGUCAGUGGAAAGAAACAGGCAUUUCUAAAGCAUAAUUCAUCUUGGGGUAACAUGUGGUGAAUUGCAGGCAUCAGAGCCACUACCAGCGUUUUUAUUCAUGGCUUAUUUUAGAAGAACUCUCUUAGGAUUUUUUAGCUUGGCAGUCGGCUAUGCCCAAUUCAUGGUGAACUCCACACUGCAUUCUCUGCAAGCCUGAGUGCUCAGCUCUGGAGUUCUAGUUAAAUCUUAUUUCUAACCAAUAAUAGCAAUAUUUACUAGGUUGUUUUUGGGUUGUUUUUUUUUUAAUGAGGUCAUGGCUGCAGCCUGAAUAAAAGUCCAUCAAAAUCCAUCAGAAUGUUUUCUCAAAAGGCUUUGAUUUACUUUUCCAAUAGCUAAAUGUAAGCUACUUUAGAAUCAGUGUCUGCAUUUGGAAAUGUAGAUGGUUUCUGUCUCCCUGUUUAAAAUUACUUGUGUGCCAGCAGUACUUGUGAUCAUCAUACAACAUAAAAAGUGGCUGCACUGGAUUGAACCAAAAGUACUUAUUGCCCUGUAUCCUUUUUUGGCAGUGGCCAGUGUUGGAUGUUCAGGAAAGAAGUGUAAGGACGUAGUAAGCAGAUAGUAAGCCACCUCAACUUCCUUUGAGGUAUUUAUCAUGCAGACAGAUUGAAGACAGACACUAUAUUGCUUUUUUGUAAUUAACAGCCCCUAAAAGUCUUUUUUUUACUCUAAAUGU
Non-coding RNA from Sturnus vulgaris (Common starling), 2453 nucleotides. Lineage: Eukaryota; Metazoa; Chordata; Aves; Passeriformes; Sturnidae. The record is from RefSeq and is a predicted model, not a curated record.